GCUAAUAAUAAAAUACCACAAACAUACUAUUAUUAACCUAAACAAAACAUUUGACAAACCAAGUAGAUGUGAUCGAACAGUAAAACUUAACACUCUAGUACCGCAAGGGAAACAUUUAAAGCAACAAAAAGCAAAGAUUAAACCUUGUACCUUUCGCAUCAUGGUCUAGCAAGAAACCAAAGACAAGAAGAAUCAUAGCCUCCACCCCGAAACCAGAUGAGCUACUUUAUAGCAGCCUAACGGGCACACCCUUCUCUGUAGCAAAAGAGUGGGAAGACUAAAAAGUAGAUGUGAAACGCUUACCGAAUCUGGAGAUAGCUGGCUACCCAACAAAAGAAUAUAAGUUCAACCUUAGACCAAAACAAUAACAACUUAUAACCUAAGGUUAGUCAAUAGGGGUACAGCCCUAUUGAAACAGGAUACAACCUGAAUUUGAGAGGAAUUUAAACUUACACCCCAGUAGGCCUUAAAGCAGCCACCUAACAAAAUAUCGUUAAAGAAUUCUACUUACAAUCCCAAAAAUAACAAAAAACUCCAAACCAAUUAAAGGUAGACCCAUAAUCAUGGGUAUUAUUAUGCUAGAACUAAUAAUAAGACAACCUCUCUUUAUGCACCUAUCCACUAGAACGGAUAAACCACUAGUAAUCAACAGACCAAAAUAGGAACAAACUAAACCAAUACACACCACAAAACAAACUGUGAACCCAACACAGGAGCAUUAAAAAGAAAGAUUAAACAUUAUAAAAGGAACUCGGCAAACACAAACCCCAACUGUUUAACAAAAACAUAACCUUUAGCCAAACAAAUAUUAAAGGCAACGCCUGCCCAGUGAACAAUUAAACGGCCGCGGUACCCUAACCGUGCAAAGGUAGCGUAAUCAUUUGUCUACUAAUUAUAGACCUGUAUGAAAGGCAAAAUGAGGGUUUAGCUGUCUCUUAUAAUAAAUCAAUUAAACUGAUCUCCCAGUACAAAAGCUGGGAUUCCAACAUAAGACCAGAAGACCCUGUGAAGCUUAAACUAAACUAUUAAAACACAUAAUAGCUACUUUCGGUUGGGGCGACCUUGGAAAAAAAAAGAACUUCCAAACAUAAUGACCUAAAUCACACUAACAGGCCAACAAGCCACUAAAAGACCCAGUAAAACUGAUAAAUGAACCAAGUUACUCCAGGGAUAACAGCGCAAUCUUCUUCAAGAGCCCAUAUCAAAAAGAAGGUUUACGACCUCGAUGUUGGAUCAGGACAUCCUAAUGGUGCAGCCGCUAUUAAGGGUUCGUUUGUUCAACGAUUAAUAGUCCUACGUGAUCUGAGUUCAGACCGGAGCAAUCCAGGUCGGUUUCUAUCUAUGAACAUGUCUUACCCAGUACGAAAGGACCGGUAAGACAAAGCCAAUACUACAAGCACGCUUUAACAAAAGAUAUACCACAACAUCACAUAAAAAUUCAUAAACCAAGACAAGGUUAAUUAAGGACCACCCUUAA
This 1477-nucleotide ribosomal RNA is filed under the name Coluber constrictor (Eastern racer). RNAcentral's name for it is "16S ribosomal RNA". It matches the Rfam family "Bacterial large subunit ribosomal RNA", at positions 438 to 2925 of the family's 2925-position model. Lineage: Eukaryota; Metazoa; Chordata; Lepidosauria; Squamata; Colubridae. The record is from RNAcentral.